AUUGAACGCUGGCGGCAUGCCUUACACAUGCAAGUCGAACGGUAACAGGUCUUCGGAUGCUGACGAGUGGCGCACGGGUGAGUAAUACAUCGGAACGUGCCCGAUCGUGGGGGAUAACGAAGCGAAAGCUUUGCUAAUACCGCAUACGAUCUACGGAUGAAAGCAGGGGACCGCAAGGCCUUGCGCGAACGGAGCGGCCGAUGGCCGAUUAGGUAGUUGGUGGGAUAAAAGCUUACCAAGCCGACGAUCUGUAGCUGGUCUGAGAGGACGACCAGCCACACUGGGACUGAGACACGGCCCAGACUCCUACGGGAGGCAGCAGUGGGGAAUUUUGGACAAUGGGCGAAAGCCUGAUCCAGCCAUGCCGCGUGCAGGAUGAAGGCCUUCGGGUUGUAAACUGCUUUUGUACGGAACGAAAAGACUCUGGUUAAUACCUGGGGUCCAUGACGGUACCGUAAGAAUAAGCACCGGCUAACUACGUG
This 482-nucleotide ribosomal RNA is filed under the name uncultured bacterium. Its description in RNAcentral is "partial 16S ribosomal RNA". It matches the Rfam family "Bacterial small subunit ribosomal RNA", at positions 30 to 507 of the family's 1533-position model. The record is from RNAcentral.